CAAUAUGAUUAGUGGUAACAUCCUUCUGCCUUUCUUGCUUCUCUGGACUCCAGUUUUUGCAGAAGAGAAUGGAGUCUUCCAAAUCCCCGGUGUCCUCUGGCAUCAGAAAGGAGAAUCUGCUGAAAUGAAAUGCAGUCAAAAUAAAGGUGCUAGCUACUAUCAGAUGUACUGGUACAGACAACGCCAAGGAGAGAGCAUGGAGUUCAUCGUGUACAAAACAGCCACUGGUGAUCCAGAGUUUGGCUCUGUGGAUAAAGAUAAAUUUUCUACUGUUAAAGAAUCUGCUACAAAUGGAUCUUUAACUGUGAAGGAUCUGGAUAUAGAGGACAGUGCUGUAUAUUUCUGUGCAGUAAGAGAACACAGUGUUACAGAGUUACUGCACUGCUGA
Hemibagrus wyckioides is the source of this 388-nucleotide non-coding RNA. The record is from the annotation of a RefSeq genome assembly. NCBI's taxonomy places the organism in Eukaryota, Metazoa, Chordata, Actinopteri, Siluriformes, Bagridae.